This is a long non-coding RNA of Portunus trituberculatus (swimming crab), 421 nucleotides long. RefSeq lists it as uncharacterized. The transcript has 3 exons. NCBI's taxonomy places the organism in Eukaryota, Metazoa, Arthropoda, Malacostraca, Decapoda, Portunidae. The record is from RefSeq and is a predicted model, not a curated record.
CACACCAAGGCAUCUCUAGAGUGCUUCCCGACCCGCCAACUCCCGCCAGCCCCGACAAGCCACUGCCAGCGUCUCCCUUUCACCCUGCAGCUAAGUGAUUUAUGGUGAGUUGGUUUUGGUGACUUGUCUCGGGUGUCAGUUCUCACCAUGGUGCUGUGAAUGGCAGUGGGAUGUAAUGUUCAUGAGGCAUAGCACUGUCUGUCUGUUUCUGCAGACAUGGAGGACUCAGGAGUGAAGUGUUGCAUGUGGCACAGUGUCACUCUGUGAUGCAGAGCUGUGGGUUUGAUGAUGAUGAUCUUGCUGUCAAGAUCAUCAUUGUUCAAGUCAGAAGCAAAGCUGUGGAUGACUCACUACUAAAGAAGCAUUGUUUGUUGCCUUAAUGUGAUAGGUCAUGAAUAGGUAAUGAAAACAACCACCGGUG